GAUUGAGAUAAUUAGAAAAGGCAGCGUGAACGCAAUAACCGAUCUGUGUGACGUAAUAAAGGGAUUAUUAUUGAAAUCGAUACAGCCAGAUGUCACCAUUUAUAACACCGUUGGCUCACCUCGUCAUAAAAUGCACCACAAACCAGUUCCUAUCGACCGUUAUUGUGUCAUUGAACGUCCAAAUGCAGUGACUGUAACCUGGAAUUUAAAAUACGGGUCCAUGACAAGGACCUCACCAACUUAGAAUAGAAUCAGUUAUAACGCUCCUAUAGAACACCACUGCCAUUAACCUGUCAACAGCCAUCGCAGUGAGGAAGAAGACACUUG
Molecule: non-coding RNA, 327 nt
Organism: Ciona intestinalis (vase tunicate)
Lineage: Eukaryota; Metazoa; Chordata; Ascidiacea; Phlebobranchia; Cionidae
Source: RefSeq, a predicted model, not a curated record